RNAcentral lists this ribosomal RNA (1522 nucleotides) under Salmonella enterica subsp. enterica serovar Worthington. RNAcentral describes it as "bacterial SSU rRNA". It matches the Rfam family "Bacterial small subunit ribosomal RNA". Lineage: Bacteria; Pseudomonadati; Pseudomonadota; Gammaproteobacteria; Enterobacterales; Enterobacteriaceae. The record is from RNAcentral.
AGAGUUUGAUCAUGGCUCAGAUUGAACGCUGGCGGCAGGCCUAACACAUGCAAGUCGAACGGUAACAGGAAGCAGCUUGCUGCUUUGCUGACGAGUGGCGGACGGGUGAGUAAUGUCUGGGAAACUGCCUGAUGGAGGGGGAUAACUACUGGAAACGGUGGCUAAUACCGCAUAACGUCGCAAGACCAAAGAGGGGGACCUUCGGGCCUCUUGCCAUCAGAUGUGCCCAGAUGGGAUUAGCUUGUUGGUGAGGUAACGGCUCACCAAGGCGACGAUCCCUAGCUGGUCUGAGAGGAUGACCAGCCACACUGGAACUGAGACACGGUCCAGACUCCUACGGGAGGCAGCAGUGGGGAAUAUUGCACAAUGGGCGCAAGCCUGAUGCAGCCAUGCCGCGUGUAUGAAGAAGGCCUUCGGGUUGUAAAGUACUUUCAGCGGGGAGGAAGGUGUUGUGGUUAAUAACCACAGCAAUUGACGUUACCCGCAGAAGAAGCACCGGCUAACUCCGUGCCAGCAGCCGCGGUAAUACGGAGGGUGCAAGCGUUAAUCGGAAUUACUGGGCGUAAAGCGCACGCAGGCGGUCUGUCAAGUCGGAUGUGAAAUCCCCGGGCUCAACCUGGGAACUGCAUUCGAAACUGGCAGGCUUGAGUCUUGUAGAGGGGGGUAGAAUUCCAGGUGUAGCGGUGAAAUGCGUAGAGAUCUGGAGGAAUACCGGUGGCGAAGGCGGCCCCCUGGACAAAGACUGACGCUCAGGUGCGAAAGCGUGGGGAGCAAACAGGAUUAGAUACCCUGGUAGUCCACGCCGUAAACGAUGUCUACUUGGAGGUUGUGCCCUUGAGGCGUGGCUUCCGGAGCUAACGCGUUAAGUAGACCGCCUGGGGAGUACGGCCGCAAGGUUAAAACUCAAAUGAAUUGACGGGGGCCCGCACAAGCGGUGGAGCAUGUGGUUUAAUUCGAUGCAACGCGAAGAACCUUACCUGGUCUUGACAUCCACGGAAGUUUUCAGAGAUGAGAAUGUGCCUUCGGGAACCGUGAGACAGGUGCUGCAUGGCUGUCGUCAGCUCGUGUUGUGAAAUGUUGGGUUAAGUCCCGCAACGAGCGCAACCCUUAUCCUUUGUUGCCAGCGAUUCGGUCGGGAACUCAAAGGAGACUGCCAGUGAUAAACUGGAGGAAGGUGGGGAUGACGUCAAGUCAUCAUGGCCCUUACGACCAGGGCUACACACGUGCUACAAUGGCGCAUACAAAGAGAAGCGACCUCGCGAGAGCAAGCGGACCUCAUAAAGUGCGUCGUAGUCCGGAUUGGAGUCUGCAACUCGACUCCAUGAAGUCGGAAUCGCUAGUAAUCGUGGAUCAGAAUGCCACGGUGAAUACGUUCCCGGGCCUUGUACACACCGCCCGUCACACCAUGGGAGUGGGUUGCAAAAGAAGUAGGUAGCUUAACCUUCGGGAGGGCGCUUACCACUUUGUGAUUCAUGACUGGGGUGAAGUCGUAACAAGGUAACCGUAGGGGAACCUGCGGUUG